GGACUAGCUCGAACCAGACUCAAAGCUCAGACAACCAGAAAUGAAGGUCGCAACUUCAGCAAUGCUACUCCUUAUGCUCGUGGAAGUUGCUGUGGGCGUGCAGGCCUGGGGCCUUAUGUCUUCGCGAAGGCCAACGCCACAGAAAAGCCAAGCACAAUUUCAGAAAUGGUGUAGACUUAACUUUGGUCCGGCCUGGGGUGGCAGGGGAUGCUAGACAAAAAGAAGUCAUCUAGGAUGCAGCUUAGUCGUACUUAACCAUCGCAAUUCUCGACUGAGUAAAUAAGAAAAUAUAUUUUCUUGUCAGAUUUGGACAGACUGCACCGAUUCUUAAUUUUUUAAAACUUAUCCUGUCUCAAUUGUCUGUUGUAUCUCUCUGUAGAUAGUGUCUUAUUUUCACAAAUACCAAUCUUUCUAUACUUUAUCUAUUGCACUCUCAGCAACAAUGGACAAAAAUUCGUAUCUUUAUUUCAAUUUGUGUAUUUUGUCCUUUAUUUUUGUUUAUCUCUGAAAUACUUUGAACUCUUUUAAUUGCCUAAUCACUUCCCCAGCUAGCUAUAUUAUGAUAUAAUCUCAAUAUAAAUUAAACCAUACCCGAGGCAUAUCGAAUGGGUACAGUUCCAUACAUGGUAGUUCUUCUUCUUGGGAGUUAUGUACUACAUCACAUGCUGGUUUACCGAUGC
Molecule: RNA transcript, 680 nt
Organism: Drosophila miranda
Lineage: Eukaryota; Metazoa; Arthropoda; Insecta; Diptera; Drosophilidae
Gene name: accessory gland-specific peptide 70A
Exons: 3
Source: RefSeq, a predicted model, not a curated record